This 208-nucleotide unclassified non-coding RNA is filed under the name soil metagenome. RNAcentral describes it as "partial contains 5.8S ribosomal RNA, internal transcribed spacer 2, and large subunit ribosomal RNA". The record is from RNAcentral.
AACCAUAGAAACCUGCGGAGUACCUGCGGAAGGAUCAUUAUCGAGUUGCAAAACUCCAACCCUUUGUGAACAUACCUCAGUCGUUGCUUCGGCGGUGGACGGCCUUUUUUCGAAAAGGCCCGAAGCCGCCGGAGGUUCCAAACUCGUGUUUUGUUUAGUGUAUCUCUGAGCCUGAAAACAAAUAAUCAAAACUUUCAACAACGGAUCU